AAAUGAAGAUUUUGUGACUGAGUGGCGGACGGGUGAGUAACGCGUGGGUAACCUGCCUCAUACAGGGGGAUAACAGUUGGAAACGACUGCUAAUACCGCAUAAGCGCACAGGAUCGCAUGGCACUGAGGGAAAAGGAUUUAUUCGCUUCAGGAUGGACUCGCGUCCAAUUAGCUAGUUGGUGAGGUAACGGCUCACCAAGGCGACGAUCAGUAGCCGGCCUGAGAGGGUGAACGGCCACAUUGGGACUGAGACACGGCCCAAACUCC
Molecule: ribosomal RNA, 267 nt
Filed under: uncultured Eubacteriales bacterium
Lineage: Bacteria; Bacillati; Bacillota; Clostridia; Eubacteriales
Description: uncultured Clostridiales bacterium partial 16S ribosomal RNA
Rfam family: Bacterial small subunit ribosomal RNA
Source: RNAcentral